AUGGGAGGGGGCUUGCUCCCGAUAGCGGCGGGCCAGUCAAUUAACCAGGUGACUGACCCUCCGCAAUCGGGGGCAAGCCCCCUCCCAC
RNAcentral lists this unclassified non-coding RNA (88 nucleotides) under Pseudomonas libanensis. The record is from RNAcentral. Lineage: Bacteria; Pseudomonadati; Pseudomonadota; Gammaproteobacteria; Pseudomonadales; Pseudomonadaceae.